AUCCAAAAUCUACCGUAUUCAGAAUUCAGAAUACUGGAGGCAAUAUAUCUGGGAAUCUGUGACCUGAAAGUUUUGCCGCAUUUGGGAACCAUAAUUCUGAAGCAAAGUGGAUUCAUUUGGACAAACCUGAAGUGGGUAGCUGAGUUCUAUGUUUGGGCUGAUAAUGCAAAUCUGGAUUAUACUGGGAUGCUGGAAUGGAGGACAGAGGAUAUCCUGAAAGUAUAAAGCCCUGAGAAUAAUAAAA
This 244-nucleotide long non-coding RNA is filed under the name Mustela putorius furo (domestic ferret). RNAcentral describes it as "lncRNA (ENSMPUG00000027537.1)". The record is from RNAcentral. Lineage: Eukaryota; Metazoa; Chordata; Mammalia; Carnivora; Mustelidae.